CCUACGGGAGGCUGCAGUAGGGAAUCUUCCACAAUGGACGAAAGCCUGAUGGAGCAACGCCGCGUGGGUGAAGAAGGUCUUCGGAUCGUAAAACCCUGUUUUUAGAGAAGAAAGUGCGUGAGCGUAACUGUUCACGUUUCUACGGUAUCUAACCAGAAAGCCACGGCUAACUACGGGCCAGCAGCCGCGGUAAUACGUAGGUGGCAAGCGUUAUCCGGAUUUAUUGGGCGUAAGGGGAACGCAGGCGGUUUUUUAAGUAUGAUGUGAAAGCUUUGGGCUUAACCGGGGUAGUGCAUUGGAAACUGGGAGACUUGAGUGCAGAAGAGGAGGGUGGAA
RNAcentral lists this ribosomal RNA (336 nucleotides) under uncultured bacterium. RNAcentral's name for it is "partial 16S ribosomal RNA". It matches the Rfam family "Bacterial small subunit ribosomal RNA", at positions 338 to 666 of the family's 1533-position model. The record is from RNAcentral.